GCGCGGGGAGAGGAGGGCGCGCGAGGCGGACGUGGGCGACGGGGAGGCGCGCGCGAGGGAGAGAGAGCCAAGCGGCACGGGACGCAGAGAAACGGCGGAGCAGGGGAGAGAGAGAGAUGGCGCCAGGGAGGAGAGGAGCUCGGGAAGCUUGGCGGCAGGGAGGAGCUCGCGGGAAGAAGAAGAGAAGGGGAGAAGAAGGUGGCGGCGGAGGAGGAAAAGGGGGGAG
This 226-nucleotide long non-coding RNA is filed under the name Brachypodium distachyon (stiff brome). RNAcentral describes it as "long non-coding RNA (BDIS_LNC005299)". Lineage: Eukaryota; Viridiplantae; Streptophyta; Magnoliopsida; Poales; Poaceae. The record is from RNAcentral.